Long non-coding RNA from Aedes albopictus (Asian tiger mosquito), 623 nucleotides. RefSeq lists it as uncharacterized. Lineage: Eukaryota; Metazoa; Arthropoda; Insecta; Diptera; Culicidae. The record is from RefSeq and is a predicted model, not a curated record. The transcript has 2 exons.
CUGAGGGAGAAAACAGCGCUGCUAGAUCACUGCAUCACCAACAACCACCAAUUUCUAUUAGACAGGGUAGAAGUAUUGGAUUCAAGCCACAAAAAACAGAAUCUAGCUAUAUUAGAGUCAUGUCACAUCCUUAACACACAACACACUGUCAACAAGCGAACCGACACCGAUAACCUAAGCGGCACGUACGCCGGGGUAUUACACACAGUUAAAACGAUACAACACACUACACACAGACGAACAGUGGAAUAGGCGCACAAUAGCAGCCAUCACCAUAACGAGACACAGACAGAAUCCGAAAUUGGCGCGAAAGUGACCGACAAGUGUAGGAGGUAAAACAAAACCCAAUAUAAGUGAACCGGUAGAUUUAAAAAUUGCGCCAACGAUCGAACUCAACCACUGAAUGGAUGACGUGCGACUAUGUUCAACACAUUAUAACUCACGAUUGAACGGAGUGAUUAUCUGUAAGAUUUUGUAAACUAUGUUGUUAAAUGUUGUACUAAAUUGUCCAUUUGUAGAUCCUUCGAAAAAGGCUCAAUACAUGUAGCCGAAACGUCAGGUGUAGAGCAUAAAUCCGUUUAUGAUUACGCGAAGACUGAAAGCCGAAAAUACCCGUAACAUAA